Molecule: transfer RNA, 68 nt
Filed under: Bos taurus (domestic cattle)
Lineage: Eukaryota; Metazoa; Chordata; Mammalia; Artiodactyla; Bovidae
Also listed under: 2 other names
Rfam family: tRNA
About the family: Transfer RNA (tRNA) molecules are approximately 80 nucleotides in length. Their secondary structure includes four short double-helical elements and three loops (D, anti-codon, and T loops).
Source: Rfam by way of RNAcentral
CCUGGUGGCUCAGUGGUAAAGAAUCUGCCUGCAAUGCAGGAGACUCAGGUUUGAUCCCUGGGUCAGGA